Molecule: ribosomal RNA, 670 nt
Filed under: Pseudomonadota bacterium
Lineage: Bacteria; Pseudomonadati; Pseudomonadota
Description: bacterial SSU rRNA
Rfam family: Bacterial small subunit ribosomal RNA
Source: RNAcentral
AACGAACGCUGGCGGCAUGCCUAACACAUGCAAGUCGAACGAGAUCUUCGGAUCUAGUGGCGCACGGGUGCGUAACGCGUGGGAAUCUGCCCUUGGGUUCGGAAUAACAGUGAGAAAUUACUGCUAAUACCGGAUGAUGUCUUCGGACCAAAGAUUUAUCGCCCAGGGAUGAGCCCGCGUAGGAUUAGGUAGUUGGUGGGGUAAUGGCCUACCAAGCCGACGAUCCUUAGCUGGUCUGAGAGGAUGAUCAGCCACACUGGGACUGAGACACGGCCCAGACUCCUACGGGAGGCAGCAGUGGGGAAUAUUGGACAAUGGGCGAAAGCCUGAUCCAGCAAUGCCGCGUGAGUGAUGAAGGCCUUAGGGUUGUAAAGCUCUUUUACCAGGGAUGAUAAUGACAGUACCUGGAGAAUAAGCUCCGGCUAACUCCGUGCCAGCAGCCGCGGUAAUACGGAGGGAGCUAGCGUUGUUCGGAAUUACUGGGCGUAAAGCGCGCGUAGGCGGUUACUCAAGUCAGAGGUGAAAGCCCGGGGCUCAACCCCGGAACUGCCUUUGAAACUAGGUGACUAGAAUCUUGGAGAGGUCAGUGGAAUUCCGAGUGUAGAGGUGAAAUUCGUAGAUAUUCGGAAGAACACCAGUGGCGAAGGCGACUGACUGGACAAGUAUGACG